Long non-coding RNA from Zingiber officinale, 498 nucleotides. RefSeq lists it as uncharacterized. The record is from RefSeq and is a predicted model, not a curated record. NCBI's taxonomy places the organism in Eukaryota, Viridiplantae, Streptophyta, Magnoliopsida, Zingiberales, Zingiberaceae. The transcript has 2 exons.
GGGAGAACCUAGGGAUUAUUUUUCCGAAACCAAAACCUCUCCUCUUUCUUCUUCUCUCUCGCACGGCGUCGGGCUCUUCUCGGGCAGAAACGGAAUGAAGCCCUAGCUUCGUCUCCGGCGGCCGGCGAAGGACAGAUUCUGGGAGAUCUUCACGGAAUAGAGACCGACUCAUCGAGGAGAGCUUGUGGGCACGAAGAGGAGUCGGAGAUUCGAGCCCUCCGUGAACCCUAGAAGCCCUCUUGUUCGGGCGUGAGUCCAAGAAGCAAGAUAAAGGAAAGGAAAAGAUAUAGCGACGGAAGGCGACAAGGUGGCGCGGAUGGUGUGUGAUGCCAGGACUAUGGGAGAGACUUGGGCAUUUUUAAGUUUCCGCAUUUUAGUGUAUAAGAAGCAUUUGAAGUUGUACUUUAAGAUCCAUGUCAUUUGAGAUUAUUUUUGUGUUAGAUUGCAUGCUAAGAUAAACUCAGUUUAGUAGGUAUAUAUUUUUGGUUUUGACACUUA